GCUGGGCAUGGUUGGCACAUGCCUGUAAUUCCAGCUACUAGGAGGCUGAGGCAGGAGAAUCACUUGAACCCGGGGGGCGGGGGUUGCAGUGAGCUGAGAUUGCGCCACUGCACUCCAGCCUGGGUGACAGGGUGAGAUUCUGUCUCAA
Molecule: non-coding RNA, 148 nt
Organism: Pan troglodytes (chimpanzee)
Lineage: Eukaryota; Metazoa; Chordata; Mammalia; Primates; Hominidae
Rfam family: Metazoan signal recognition particle RNA
About the family: The signal recognition particle (SRP) is a universally conserved ribonucleoprotein.
Source: Rfam